This 86-nucleotide transfer RNA is filed under the name Sulfitobacter sp. RNAcentral describes it as "tRNA-Leu". It matches the Rfam family "tRNA". From Rfam's summary of the family: Transfer RNA (tRNA) molecules are approximately 80 nucleotides in length. Their secondary structure includes four short double-helical elements and three loops (D, anti-codon, and T loops). Lineage: Bacteria; Pseudomonadati; Pseudomonadota; Alphaproteobacteria; Rhodobacterales; Roseobacteraceae. RNAcentral also lists the same sequence under 2 other names. The record is from RNAcentral.
GCCGGGGUGGCGAAAUGGUAGACGCAGCGGAUUCAAAAUCCGCCGGUGGCAACACCGUGGGGGUUCAAGUCCCCCCUCCGGCACCA